RNAcentral lists this ribosomal RNA (207 nucleotides) under uncultured bacterium. RNAcentral's name for it is "partial 16S ribosomal RNA". It matches the Rfam family "Bacterial small subunit ribosomal RNA", at positions 568 to 774 of the family's 1533-position model. The record is from RNAcentral.
UGCGUAGGUGGUGAGGUAAGUCGGAUGUGAAAUCUCGGAGCUCAACUCCGAAAUGGCAUUGGAAACUACCUUGCUCGAGGAAUGGAGGGGGGACUGGAAUUCUCGGUGUAGCAGUGAAAUGCGUAGAUAUCGAGAGGAACACCAGUGGCGAAGGCGAGUCCCUGGACAUCUCCUGACGCUGAGGCACGAAAGCUAGGGGAGCAAACA